GCCCGGGUGGUGGAAUUGGUAGACACGCAGGACUUAAAAUCCUGUGGCUUCGCGGCUGUACGGGUUCAAGUCCCGUCCCGGGUA
Molecule: transfer RNA, 84 nt
Filed under: Bacteroidota bacterium
Lineage: Bacteria; Pseudomonadati; Bacteroidota
Description: Bacteroidetes bacterium (activated sludge metagenome) tRNA-Leu
Rfam family: tRNA
About the family: Transfer RNA (tRNA) molecules are approximately 80 nucleotides in length. Their secondary structure includes four short double-helical elements and three loops (D, anti-codon, and T loops).
Source: RNAcentral